This 487-nucleotide ribosomal RNA is filed under the name uncultured bacterium. RNAcentral's name for it is "partial 16S ribosomal RNA". It matches the Rfam family "Bacterial small subunit ribosomal RNA", at positions 28 to 507 of the family's 1533-position model. The record is from RNAcentral.
GAUGAACGCUAGCGAUAGGCUUAACACAUGCAAGUCGAGGGGCAGCACAAGGUAGCUUGCUAUCUGGGUGGCGACCGGCGCACGGGUGCGUAACGCGUAUGCAACUUGCCCUAUACAGGAGGAUAACCCGUCGAAAGACGGACUAAUACUGCGUAUGCUCACAACUUGGCAUCAAGUGGUGAGGAAAGAAAUUCGGUAUAGGAUAGGCAUGCGUCCCAUUAGCUUGUUGGUGAGGUAACGGCUCACCAAGGCAACGAUGGGUAGGGGAACUGAGAGGUUUUUCCCCCAGAGUGGUACUGGGACACGGACCAGACUCCUACGGGAGGCAGCAGUGAGGAAUAUUGGUCAAUGGGCGCGAGCCUGAACCAGCCAAGUCGCGUGAAGGAUGACUGUCCUAUGGAUUGUAAACUUCUUGUAGACGGGAAUAACAAGAGUCACGUGUGACUCCCUGCAUGUACCGUAUGAAUAAGCAUCGGCUAACUCCGUG